UCCAGGUGUGGUGGUGCACACCUAUAGUCCCAGCUACUCAGGAGGCUGAGGUGGGAGGAUCACUUGAACCCAGGAAGUCAAGGCUGCAGUGAGCUGUGAUCAUGCCACUGCACUCUGGCCUGGGUGACAAAGUGAGACCCUGUCUCAA
This is an unclassified non-coding RNA of Pongo abelii (Sumatran orangutan), 148 nucleotides long. It matches the Rfam family "Metazoan signal recognition particle RNA". From Rfam's summary of the family: The signal recognition particle (SRP) is a universally conserved ribonucleoprotein. It is involved in the co-translational targeting of proteins to membranes. The record is from Ensembl. NCBI's taxonomy places the organism in Eukaryota, Metazoa, Chordata, Mammalia, Primates, Hominidae.